GUAGCUCAGUUGGUUCAGAGCACUUGGUUUACACCCAAGGGGUCAGGGGUUCGAAUCCCUUC
RNAcentral lists this transfer RNA (62 nucleotides) under Flavobacteriaceae bacterium. Its description in RNAcentral is "tRNA-Val". It matches the Rfam family "tRNA", at positions 7 to 64 of the family's 71-position model. Rfam says of the family: Transfer RNA (tRNA) molecules are approximately 80 nucleotides in length. Their secondary structure includes four short double-helical elements and three loops (D, anti-codon, and T loops). Further hydrogen bonds mediate the characteristic L-shaped molecular structure. tRNAs have two regions of fundamental functional importance: the anti-codon, which is responsible for specific mRNA codon recognition, and the 3' end, to which the tRNAs corresponding amino acid is attached (by aminoacyl-tRNA synthetases). tRNAs cope with the degeneracy of the genetic code in two manners: having more than one tRNA (with a specific anti-codon) for a particular amino acid; and 'wobble' base-pairing, i.e. permitting non-standard base-pairing at the 3rd anti-codon position. The record is from RNAcentral. Lineage: Bacteria; Pseudomonadati; Bacteroidota; Flavobacteriia; Flavobacteriales; Flavobacteriaceae.